CACAAACAACAACAAAUAAAUAAAGCACAUAUAAAAAUUUAUAUUACACGCGACGGCAUUGACGACGAGACAAAUAGAAUUUUGCUGCCAUUCAUUGCUCCCCGGCACGUAAUACUAUUCAGGCUAACCACACAAAAAAUUUCAUAUCCCGUCGUCGUCGUAGUCGUCAUCGGCGGCGACAUUCGACGUUCUCAUCGUUGCCAUCAGCAUACAAAAAAGAUCUCUGCAAUAACAGCCAAAUACUCGAUUAAUGUAUACAACAACAGAAGGGAGAACCGACCGACCGACCAGCCAGUCAACCAACCAACCAAACAACACACAACAACAGCACAACAACAUGACAGCAGCAGCCGUAAACAGUACAAACACACACGUAAUCACAUACAUACAUGCACAAUCAACGUUAUAAGAACGGUGUGGUAAAAAGGAAGUGACGAAAAAAGGACCACUCUAAUAAAAACACUCCACUUAUGAACUGCCUCAGUCACACAGGAGAAUAUUUGAUACUGAUAUUACUGAAGUCCUUGUGAACCCAUUCCUCGUACGAUAACUAAAAUUGUCCAAGCACCGAUUUGUGCCAAAUGUCAACCCCUUUAUAUUUGCUAAGCGAAAGAAAUUGAAUACUUCGCAUUUAGAUAUCAAAGCGACACUAAAACUCAAAAAGCUACUCAUUCGAUCGGAAUCAUGCCAGC
Long non-coding RNA from Bactrocera tryoni, 692 nucleotides. RefSeq lists it as uncharacterized. The record is from RefSeq and is a predicted model, not a curated record. The transcript has 3 exons. NCBI's taxonomy places the organism in Eukaryota, Metazoa, Arthropoda, Insecta, Diptera, Tephritidae.